Long non-coding RNA from Spinacia oleracea (spinach), 792 nucleotides. RefSeq lists it as uncharacterized. The transcript is spliced from 3 exons. The record is from RefSeq and is a predicted model, not a curated record. NCBI's taxonomy places the organism in Eukaryota, Viridiplantae, Streptophyta, Magnoliopsida, Caryophyllales, Amaranthaceae.
UCUCUCAGCUCUCUGUACUAUGUAGUCAUCACUUCUCUAUUUCUUCACUUUUACUCUCAUCUAAAAGAAACCGCUUAAUCGCAUGAUGAUUUGUUAAGAUUUUCUUCCCAGUUCUCUAAUCCACACAAAUUAAUCAAAAUAAAUUCACAUUAUUGACAGCUCAAAAAUGGCGUUUGCAUCUAAUUUUAACCUCUUUUUUUAAUUUCAUUUUAUUGUUUUGUUUUGAUAUUUUCAGGUUUGAUUUUGUCAUCCAUAGCAAUUUAUUUCCAGAUCUUCAAGCGCAUGUUGCGACUAGAGUACACUUAUGACUAAGAAACAACGAUAACUGUCUCACAGGAGGACUAUGGAGCUGAGAAGGAGGACGAGAGAAAGCUAAUUGAAUAUAAGGCUCAAGGUGAACAAACAAUUGUGGCAAGGAGAAGACAAUGAGUCCCACAGAGUGAGAAAACAUAGUCAUGAGGGUGAAGAUUAAAGCGCUGCAACUUUGUUAAUGUCUUGCGAGGAGGUAGUUGUUAUUCUUGGUUCAAUACUGAAUGAGUGUCAAUUUAUCAGUGUCAAGAGGCAUGGUGAACGAUAGAGAAAUUAGUAGAUCUAGUUCUAUAUUUAUGAAUUUCUAGGAUAGGUGUUGUUUUGUGAUGAAGAGGUGUAAAGGGAAUCUAUUUACAGAGUGAUGUUGAAAGAAUGUAUUAAUUGUUGGGAUGUAACUCUCGAAUUUAUCUACAUAUUCCUCUAAUUUGUAUAUAAACAACAUUUGACAAGAAAAUGGCUUGGAACAUUAUUUACUUAUUUAUU